This 377-nucleotide unclassified non-coding RNA is filed under the name uncultured Pseudobdellovibrionaceae bacterium. Its description in RNAcentral is "uncultured Bdellovibrionaceae bacterium contains 16S-23S intergenic spacer region". The record is from RNAcentral. Lineage: Bacteria; Pseudomonadati; Bdellovibrionota; Bdellovibrionia; Bdellovibrionales; Pseudobdellovibrionaceae.
UCCGGCUUAACGCCGGCGGUCUCUCUAGAGUGCCCAACUUAAUGAUGGCAACAAGAGACGUGGGUUGCGCUCGUUACGGGACUUAACCCAACAUCUCACGACACGAGCUGACGACAGCCAUGCAGCACCUGUCUCUCUGUCCCUUGCGGGAAAACCGACUUUCGCCGGCGAUCAGAGGAUGUCAAGGCUAGGAUAAGGUUCUUCGCGUUGCGUCGAAUUGAACCACAUGCUCCACUGCUUGUGCGGGUCCCCGUCAAUUUCUUUGAGUUUUAAUCUUGCGACCGUACUCCCCAGGCGGGAUGCUUAACGCGUUAGCUUCGUCACUGAAAGGGUUUUUCCUCCAACGACAAGCACCCAUCGUUUACGGCGUGGACUAC